Molecule: ribosomal RNA, 580 nt
Filed under: uncultured beta proteobacterium
Lineage: Bacteria; Pseudomonadati; Pseudomonadota; Betaproteobacteria
Description: bacterial SSU rRNA
Rfam family: Bacterial small subunit ribosomal RNA
Source: RNAcentral
ACCGCAUGAGUUCUACGGAAGAAAGAGGGGGACCCGCAAGGGCCUCUCGCGAGCGGAGCGGCCGAUGACUGAUUAGCCGGUUGGUGAGGUAACGGCUCACCAAAGCAACGAUCAGUAGCUGGUCUGAGAGGACGACCAGCCACACUGGGACUGAGACACGGCCCAGACUCCUACGGGAGGCAGCAGUGGGGAAUUUUGGACAAUGGGCGCAAGCCUGAUCCAGCUAUUCCGCGUGUGGGAUGAAGGCCCUCGGGUUGUAAACCACUUUUGUAGAGAACGAAAAGACACCUUCGAAUAAAGGGUGUUGCUGACGGUACUCUAAGAAUAAGCACCGGCUAACUACGUGCCAGCAGCCGCGGUAAUACGUAGGGUGCGAGCGUUAAUCGGAAUUACUGGGCGUAAAGGGUGCGCAGGCGGUUGAGUAAGACAGAUGUGAAAUCCCCGAGCUUAACUCGGGAAUGGCAUAUGUGACUGCUCGACUAGAGUGUGUCAGAGGGAGGUGGAAUUCCACGUGUAGCAGUGAAAUGCGUAGAUAUGUGGAAGAACACCGAUGGCGAAGGCAGCCUCCUGGGACAUAACU